RNAcentral lists this unclassified non-coding RNA (904 nucleotides) under Hevea brasiliensis (rubber tree). Lineage: Eukaryota; Viridiplantae; Streptophyta; Magnoliopsida; Malpighiales; Euphorbiaceae. The record is from RNAcentral.
UGAAUAUAAAAAUGGGUAUUUGGACGUUUCUAACCUAUAUGUUAACUGAGAGAUGUACCACACGUAUUUAACAUCGCAAACAAAAGGCAGGGCUGCCCUCCUUCACAAAAAUGUAGAGAACUCCUCACUAGGUUGUGAUUCCUAUUAACAAUAAAUGCACACUAUCAGUAUCAACGUGGAGUGCAUAAGUGAGUGACCCUAGCAUCAUAAACACUUGGUCAUCCUCUCGUUUGUUCCUUGAACUUUGGAAGGAUAGUAUCUCCCGUCAUUUGACACCACUUAUCUUUGGUUGGAUGAAUUUGUGAUCCUAUAUGGCCAAUCUGCCUAUGAGUUACCUGGCGAAGACUCACUAGGAACAUGACGAACAAACUGUCCUUUAACUCUGGGACGCUGUUCAGCAAGUUUUUUCCUGCUUUCAUAUCGUACCUUCUUUUCGAAGCAUCUGUCUUUCCGCUUCAUGCGAAAUUUUGUAAGAGCUGCUUCUCUUUGAGAUCGCUGAGAGUUCCCAUCAGUAGUGUGAAGGCUUUCUUCUUUCCAAUACUCUGCCGGUGUUUUGCCUGGUGGAAGUGAGAUGUUUCCGUUGCUUCCAUAACUCAAAUGAACGUGGUUUAGAUCACCAUUGCAGCAAAUGCUAUUUAUAGUUUGAUCAGUUGCAGAGGGAAAACGUUCGCAAUCAGUUGUAGGUUCAGACAUGUGCCCUCUCUUACCCUCAUUGUAAGCGGACGAAUCACUGUUGUUUUGAUCACUCUGUGAGUGAAAUUUUUGAGAGCUCCUACUUUCACAAUUUAGCGCAAGGAAUGGAUUCGCCUGAUAGGAAGAUUCCCCAGGGGUAGCUGAACCUGGACUCUGCAAUGGCGAAAUGCCAGAUGGCAUGCGAAGAAUUGGAGCAAUCAUGGAGCAGUAA